GAGUUUCCUAAAUUGUACAAAAUACCACAUUAUUGAUUAUUAAGUUUCAAUUUCAUAACAGAGAAUACGGUAAGAGAUACUUAUCCAAAUCGAUGUCUAAAAUACCGAACUUUCUAUUGCACUUACUGACGAUUCUCAGGUUUUCUGAAUUUUUCGGUGGUGGGAUUUUUCAGGGCGGCAGCUCCGUCGGCUCACUUUCACAGUUGGAUGUUUUUAUUCAGUCAACCUUUUUUGGCGAUCAGAGGUGGAUCCGAUGCAGCGGUGGGCAGUGUUCAGCUCUCUUCUCCGACGAUUGGUUCUUCUUCUUUGGCGAGGGGCUAGCGGCUCGGGGUCGGGUUCUAUGUGAUGUAAAAUAUUUAUACCCAUCUUGCGUUAAUCUGGGUCGUUCAUUGUUUUAAUCUCAAUCGUUCGAUCACGCCUAAGGAGGAAACGAAUAUGAGCUGUUCAUCGUAUUUGAUCUCGACUGUCCGAUUACGUCUAAGAAGGAAACGAAUCUGGACUGUUCAUCGUGUUUGAUUGCGACAGUCCGAUCGCGCCUGAAGAGGGAAUGGAUCCGGGCCAUCCACGCGUGCGGGGACGCUUCUGGGUCGUCCGAUCACGAGGCAUGCAGAUCACUAGCGUGGCCUCCCGCGUGACACCGAGUCAACAUGCUU
This 653-nucleotide long non-coding RNA is filed under the name Carica papaya (papaya). RNAcentral's name for it is "long non-coding RNA (CPAP_LNC007553)". Lineage: Eukaryota; Viridiplantae; Streptophyta; Magnoliopsida; Brassicales; Caricaceae. The record is from RNAcentral.